RNAcentral lists this ribosomal RNA (370 nucleotides) under uncultured bacterium. RNAcentral describes it as "bacterial SSU rRNA". It matches the Rfam family "Bacterial small subunit ribosomal RNA", at positions 130 to 532 of the family's 1533-position model. The record is from RNAcentral.
CUUUCAUUUCGGGAUAACAGUUUGGAAACGACUGCUAAUACCGAAUAUUCCCUACGGGGGAAAGAUUUAUCGCUGAAGGAUGGGCCCGCGGUUGAUUAGAUAGUUGGUGGGGUAAUGGCCUACCAAGUCGACGAUCAUUUGCUGGUUUGAGAGGAUGAUCAGCCACACUGGGACUGAGACACGGCCCAUACUCCUACGGGAGGCAGCUGUGGGGAAUAUUGGACAAUGGGGGCAACCCUGAUUCAUCCAUGCCGCGUGAGUGAUGAAGGCCCUUCGGUUGUAAAGCUCUUUCUCUCGUGAGGAUAAUGACUGUAUCGAGUUAAGAAUUCCCGGCUAACUUCGUGCCUUCAUCCCGCGGUAAUACUAAGGG